GAUGAACGCUGGCGGCGUGCCUAACACAUGCAAGUCGAACGAAGCACCUUACCUGAUUCUUCGGAUGAAAGUUUGGUGACUGAGUGGCGGACGGGUGAGUAACGCGUGGGUAACCUGCCCUGUACAGGGGGAUAACAGCUGGAAACGGCUGCUAAUACCGCAUAAGCGCACGAGGGGACAUCUCCUUGUGUGAAAAACUCCGGUGGUACAGGAUGGGCCCGCGUCUGAUUAGCUGGUUGGCAGGGUAACGGCCUACCAAGGCAACGAUCAGUAGCCGGUCUGAGAGGAUGAACGGCCACAUUGGAACUGAGACACGGUCCAAACUCCUACGGGAGGCAGCAGUGGGGAAUAUUGCACAAUGGGGGAAACCCUGAUGCAGCGACGCCGCGUGAGUGAAGAAGUAUUUCGGUAUGUAAAGCUCUAUCAGCAGGGAAGAUAAUGACGGUACCUGACUAAGAAGCUCCGGCUAAAUACGUG
This 477-nucleotide ribosomal RNA is filed under the name uncultured bacterium. RNAcentral describes it as "partial 16S ribosomal RNA". It matches the Rfam family "Bacterial small subunit ribosomal RNA", at positions 28 to 507 of the family's 1533-position model. The record is from RNAcentral.